Drosophila bipectinata is the source of this 427-nucleotide non-coding RNA. The record is from RefSeq and is a predicted model, not a curated record. Lineage: Eukaryota; Metazoa; Arthropoda; Insecta; Diptera; Drosophilidae.
AGCAUAUCAAAUCGUAAAAUAUAAAGUUGUUUUUCUUAAACCAUCAAACAGAUAGUUUGAGAAUCAGUUUCAGUAUGAAGGUAUUUGUCACAACUUGUGUUCUUUCCAUGUUUUUUUUGUAUGCCAUGGGUUUUGGGAAGUGUACGCUUCCCAUUUUUAGUAUCGGAGCAUGUCAGAUUCCAUUUACAGUUAUUGAGUAUAUUCCUGAUUUAAAUAUUUGUAAAAGGCAACUGAUGAGAGGUUGUAAGCUGGAUAAUUAUGGAUUUGCCACAAUUCCACAAUGUGAGAGUACUUGCAAAAAAUAUAAAACUCACGGCUAGAGGAUCAUAUCAGUUUCAUUAUCGAACCCAGAGUUGGGAAAAGUACCAAUGUCUAUCGUUAAUUGAUAUGAACAAUUCGUUUAUUAAAUACACCUUACUUUAAAGGA